UACUGAUGUUAUUUAUUUACAAAUUAUAGAUACAAAUUCAUGGUACUGCUACAAGAUUAGUGUAUAGUUUUUAAUAGAGAUCGUAGAACAUGUUGUUUGAAAGCGGUUCGAAAAUGCUAAAAUCGUAUAAAUUUUUAACAUUCGUAUAUAAAGCCCCAAAUGUUCUCGAUUUAAAUGAAAACAGCUCUUACAUGAAGUGUCAUACUAAUAUUAUUCAGUUUUACUUUCGUUUUAGUUAAACGUUGUUAAGACAUUGUUAUAUUUCGUUUAGUGUGUCGUCUUAUAAUUGGAAUGAGUUGAGCAUAAAUCAUUCAACAAGGAUCAAGUGGAGGGCAAGUCUGGUGCCAGCAGCCGCGGUAAUUCCAGCUCCACUAGCGUAUAUUA
RNAcentral lists this ribosomal RNA (384 nucleotides) under Aedes aegypti (yellow fever mosquito). RNAcentral's name for it is "partial AAEL017703-RA". The stretch from base 203 to 384 matches the Rfam family "Eukaryotic small subunit ribosomal RNA", at positions 1 to 606 of the family's 1831-position model. The record is from RNAcentral. Lineage: Eukaryota; Metazoa; Arthropoda; Insecta; Diptera; Culicidae.